AUGAGUACUUCUAAGGAGAUUAUAAGGGUGGCAACACCAAGGAAAACUGGGCUCCCCACACUUAGUAAAAUCAUCUGUGUUCCCGAUAAGCCUAGCUAUGGGCAGCCUCUGACUCUCUGCUGCGAGGUGACUGGCUGUAAGCGUGAUGACGUAACGGUGGACUGGCUAGAGGAUAAUAAGCUGCUGGGCAAACACCGGAGAACAACCGCACAAGUCACUGAGGAGAAGGAUACAAUACACUGUACAAUGACUAUAACUCCCACAGCUCAGGACUCCAGGAAGGUCUACAUUUGCAGUGUGAAACACAAGGAUUUUGCAGAAGCAGUCAGGAACGAGAUCCAUGUAACUCUCCCAGAUAUUCCACCCUCAUUAUCGGAUAUUAUUGUCCAACCGGCGAAGCCUGAAGCGGGGAAGGAAGCCUCACUUACAACAACGAUAUCUGGCUUCUCACCAAAAGACAUUCUAGUGCGAUGGUAUAAAGGAUUUAGCACGUUUCCCAAUAGCGCUGUGACAUCAUCAGAUCUGCGGAUUGGGGAAGACAGUUUAUACACUUGUUCUAGCACCCUGAGAUUUACUCCUGAGCUAAGUGACCGUAACACGUCCAUCCGGUGCGAGGUGACACAUGCGGCCACUAAGACCGUCCGACAGAUACAAUAUGAUCUGUGUCUCACAGGAGUCCCUGACGCUGUAGCUGGAAGCAGAAACUCAUCACAGAGACCAAGAGCUGAAAGGAAACCCUUUAAAAUAAGAGGAAUUGAGUGCCUGACGGACAGCCCCCGAGUGGGCGAUGAUGUCACACUUAGAUGUAACGUUGAUGGAUGUAACGCGGAUGACUGUGAGUUCUCCUGGUAUAACGGAGUAUUUCCUAUUGAGGGUAAUACAGAAAACGGAGACCUGGAGGACGGUUCCGGCAGCUUCUCCACAGUCAUCUUCACAGCGGAGGAAUCGGACAGGAGUUGUACAAUCAGGUGUGAGGCCUGUUAUAACUAUCAGACAAUCGAGGAAACUUUCACUCUGAGACUGGGGUAACAGGACACGAUCUGAUGGGAGAUAUCUUUUUCUAUACAAUGGUGGAAUCUUCUCACAGAAUAAAGAUAGAGAUUGUGAAUCAUAUAAUUGGGUAAUCCCAGUUACACAUUUCAUCUGAGGCUCUACAACAAAACCUCAACAAUGUUGAACAUUGAACAGACCAUAUAGAAUGUUCUACUUCAGUUGUAUAAAGAACACAGCAGUAUCAGGAUAAAAUAUCAGUUUAGGGGAUAUUUCAUCAGCAGAAGAAUACACAUCUGUGGCGCUUCUCAAUACUACUGACAUCUUAUCUGUGUCUGAGACUUUGGGGCUAAUUCAGCAAGGAUCAGUAAGUAAGGGAGGGGGGCGGCCGGCGUUGGGUACGGAUUGCAUACUUUGUGAGAUGAGGGGAAAAUAUCUGCUCAGAAUAUUGGGUGACCCUAGAUUAGAAUUUAUGAAUUUACAGACACGAUGAGCGGUGCUACUUGGAUGCAUGGACAGUAGCAAACAUUUUCUCCACUACAUCUGACAUCAGUGGUGGGUCCAACUCUAAAUCGGCACCAAAAUGUGACAAAUGCCAAAUGGGGAAAUACUCCCGGUAAUAUCAUGUAUAUGUAAGCAAGGCUCAGCAGCACUUUGUGUGUAAAUAACCACAAAAACAUACAUAUAAUAACAUUUUUAUAUAUUAAUGUACUGUUAGGGUGGGUAGCCGUUGCUUAACUUUGGGGAAAUGUAGACGGUUGACAGUGUACUCUCUGUUUCAGGCUGCCUAUCUCUAUCCAGGUGCUAUAAAGGCUGAAUUUGUAGGUGUCUGGGUUAUAGCUCACAGCACAAUUGGUACGUGACAGGUUAUAUGCCUUUCUGCCUUCCAUCUUGUGUCAGUGAAAGCUCCUAUUUUGCUAGUAGCUGAACCUUCGCUGCUGACUUGGUUUGUCCUGUUUAUUCUCCUGUCCCUGAUCUUUGCCUGCUCCUGGAUUAUGUGUUUGUUUGCCACCAGCCCUGACCCAGCACUGUCUAUAGUCUUUCAGCUGCUAGCCCUGACCCGGCAUUGUCUAACAUUACAGACUCUCUACUACCAUCUGAGUCUUAUCUUCUGCCAGUAUCAGUCUUGAGUCCAGUUAAUACUACAGUAUCCAAUACAUUUCGUUUUUCAGCCUUCUCUAAACCAAAACCUUGGGUGGAGAAGCUUUUAUUAAUUGGAGCUGAAAACUCAGAGGCAUCCGAGCACCGUUAAGAAUGUAUGUAUUCUUUUUCUAUCUGUUUAUUUGUAUUGGCAAACAGUUGGCAAAGAGAAAGACAAGUUGCCACCCAGAAAAGAAGAUGGAUGCCUACUGGAGCCAUUUGGAACUCUUUCACUACUGCGUAUACAGAUGCAGCCUAUACGCAAUAACGUAUUUCCCUAUAGUUUGUAAACUUACGAGCAGGGUCUUCCUACCUCUAUGACUGUUUGUUAUUACCCAGUUUUGUUUUAUCAUUGUGUCCAGUUGUAAAGUGGAACAUAAUUUGCUGCACUAUAUAAGAAACUGUUAAUAAAUAAUAAAUAACGAGGAACACCAACUGCUCGGGGAGACUGUUGGUUACGCAGACUAGACAAGGCUGUAGCGGUGAAGGCACCAUGUUAUUGUUUUGUUUCCAAAACUAAUUUUUAAUAAAGCAUUGCAUCAAGUACAAUAGUCAUCAAAUAAGUUCACGUUUACAAUAACACACGAUAUCAAAUAUAGACAAUAUUGUUAUGUCCAAAUAAUCCUUCCCAUGGGAAUUCUUAAAAGGCAUUACGAGUCAAGCUCAGGUCCACACAUCAAUGGAGUCAAUAUAACAGUAUGGAGGAGUCAUCACAGCAAAGGACACCAUAAAGUAUGAACAUCCUAAAUCUCCAAUAAAAGUCUGGAUUCAUACCAUUCCGUAUUCUGAACAGAUCUUCUAAUCCAUUCCUGAAAGUCCACUGAUAAAGUUGCUAUAUAACUUUCCCAGGACUCAAAGAAUUUGGAGACUAGUUUAUCCUUUUCUAAGGUAAUUUCCAACCAGUCCAAUUGGAAAAUGAUGGUGAAGUUUCCUCUUGGAAAGGGUCAGAGGAGGUGGGGAAUGGAGAAUCCAUGUUUGUAAAAUGGAUUUACGGCAGCUGCGCUGAUUGCCAGCCGUAAUUUUCUGAACCCCGUGGAGACCCCAAAGAUCGCCCAUUCCGCAGUAAAUGGUAAAUAAUUCACGAGGUUGUCUAUUGAGUAUUUCCUGACCUGCAACCAGAAAUGUCUUAUCAAGGACACUCCCAAAGCUAUGGAAUAGAUCCACCACCGGUUGACGACAUUCAUGUGAAGCGGACGUACCCGCAAGGAAUUGCCUGUGAGGGAGUAGUACGCUCUAUGAAAUAUGUUGAAAAACAAUUCUUGAUACUGUGCAGAUGGGAGUAAACAACAUGAGGUUAUUAAAUUUUUUAGUAACACAUGGAAAUCCAAUUGGAAAGUCAGUCAUACAUUGCAAUACUGCUGAGUGGUAGUAUGAUCCAUUGGUGCCCUCAAAAGGAGAUAAUGCACAGAUAUCGCUUUUUUAGCUGACGGCGACCCCAACAGAGCGUUCAAAGGACUCGACCAGUCUUCCUCAGAGAAAUGUGCAAUUACUGAGCUUGCAUAAUGCUGCAUCUGAAAGUACGCCAAUGUAUGCCUCUGAAGUGUUGGGAAAAGUUGUGUAGCCUGAACAAAUGUCCUAGGUUCUUUAGCUGAGCUGUCUACCACAUCACCAAUAAUCUAACCCCUGCCUUCCAGGGUGGUGUAACUGGAAAGGUGGCUUCCCCGUGCUGAAAUGCCUCGUUCCCCAAGAAUGUUCAAAAGAGUAUUUGUGAGCAGUGCUAUUUUUCAGAAGGAACCAAGUUCCUGAACCUGUCCUGGGCCAAAAUGUAUUUUCCAUAAAUAAGUUUUAUUUUAAAACUCAUUUUGAGUGCCUUAUUUUCUAAAGUAUAAUCUACUCUAUCUAGCUAUCUAUCUCUAUCUACAGUAUCUAUCUGACUAUCUAUCUAUCCAUCUAUGUAAUCACUAUAUACAACACACACGCAUACUGAUAUGGAGACACAAUUUUUUAAUAGCUCCCUCCCAGACCCGUAGUUCCUGAACCUAUUUUUCCAGAAAAAUAGUGCCGAUUGCGAGCGUUCAAAUUAGCGGUACGUUGUAGCUUAUGCCAGAGUUUAUAUACCGACCACAGUAAGGGGUUAUCCUUUCACACCUGAUCUGUUUCGGCCUCGCUCUUACAAAGGAAAGUGAUUCAAUUGCCAUCCAAGAGGAAUUGUUGUUCCAAUAAUGUAUUGGCGGAUGUUUCGCUAGAGGAAGCCAAUCCCGGAGAUAUCCUAAUAAGGCCGCAUAACUAUAUAAGUGGAUUUUGUGUGAAAUGAAUGCCCCCAUUUACCUUGAAUUGCCGUAAUUUUAGCAGUGCUGUUUCUGGCUGUUUACCUUUCCAUAUGAAGCAACGGAAUAUUUUGGUCACAUCAGAUUGUCUAAUUAACAGUGGUAGGGAUUGUAGUAAAUAUAAGAGACAGGGAAAAGUAGACUUUUUAAUCAAACUGGCCCUACCGAGAUAGGAUAGUAACACAUGGUUCCAGCCAUCUAGUUCAGUUGAGAUAGCUGCGACUGCUUCCCCAAUAUUCAUUUUAUAUCAUUUAGAGAGACAUUUUGGAAGUUCGAUGCCGAGAUAAAUACUAUCCGAUUUUGCCCAUGUCAAGGUGCCAUGUUUUAUACGUACAUGAUCGUACAUUAUACACACCCCGAAAACAGCCAUGACACACCUACAAUUUUGCAGCCACUCCCCGUUAUCACCCCCAAACGAUCACGUCCUGUCAAUCACUCUGCAAUGACAUCUUCAGGGCAAUCAUAAACAAAGGCAUCUUGACACGUGCACAGUGCGAUUGUGGCACAUGCUCAGUCUGCUGAUAAUUGCUUCGUUGUACAAUCAUGAAUUAGGCCAAAACAUUGACCAAAACAGAGCAUAUGACAUGCAUAUAAAUUAUAAAUAGACAUCAUAGCCAGAGCCGGCCCUAACCAAUAUGAGGCAAGAUUAGACACAGGUGCCCCCAAGCACCACCGCUAGUUCUGCCUCUGACCCUGCACCCUUUUCCCAGCACCAUCAUCCCUUACCAAUAGCAGUCCUCAUUUUAGUGCUCCUACCCACUAUAUUUUAAAUAGGAACACUGUGCACAUUUGGCGCACAGCCCAAAAGUGGGUGUGUCAUUGCUGGGAAGGGGCAUGGCCGCACAAUAGUACCCCCAAUUCAAAUUACGCCACACAGUGCUGCAACUUUAUUCACAUUUUAUCAUGAGAUAGUGUCCCUUAUUCAUGUUACAUCACACAGAAGUACCACUUUACCUUAUAUACGUUACUCCUCACAGUAGUGCCCCUUAUUCACAUUACACCACACUGAAUUGCUCCUUAUUCACAUUACACCACACCAUAUUGCUCUUAAUUCACAUUAGACCACACAGUAGUGCCCUUUCUAUACGUUAUGCCACACAAUAGAGCACCUUAUACACAUAAUACCACACAGUAAUGCCUCUUACACAUAUGACAUUCAUUAUUAAUGUCAUUAUAAACAUAAUGCGCCUAAAAUAUUAUGCCAACCUUUAUUAAUGCUCUUAUACACAUAAUGUCCCUUACACAUUUGCCGCACAUUAUUAAUGCCAUUGUACACGUAAGUACACACAUAAUGUCCCUUACACAUAUGCCGCACAUUAUUAAUGCCUUUAUACAUAUAUAAUUACACACAUAACUUUCCUUACACAUAUGCCGCACAUUAUUAAUGCAUUUAUACACAUGACACACAUAAAGCCCCUUACACAUAUGCUGAACACUACUGCACAACCGACCCACCCGCACACAGCACUCACAUGGUUGCUAACACUGUGACCUCUGCCUCUGCUUGGAUACAGGUAUGUCCUCAUAUAUCUUGCCUCAAUACACCAUGCAGCAGGAGAUGCCUGGAGUGAGUCAGCUGGCAACUCAAGGCCAGCUCUGCUAACACCGGGCGCCUUGUUUUGAUAAAAAUGCAUCUUAUUUGUAUUACUAUGUAGUUGGGAUGCACAAGCAGUUUCUGCUGAUUAAAAUGAUAUGCGGCUUGCCUAUAUUCUGUGUGUGACUGCAGCUGUAUCUGCAUAUGAAAUGCUACGUUACACUCAUUUCCAGGAA
Pseudophryne corroboree (corroboree frog) is the source of this 6167-nucleotide non-coding RNA. The record is from the annotation of a RefSeq genome assembly. NCBI's taxonomy places the organism in Eukaryota, Metazoa, Chordata, Amphibia, Anura, Myobatrachidae.